Molecule: non-coding RNA, 26 nt
Filed under: Mus musculus (house mouse)
Lineage: Eukaryota; Metazoa; Chordata; Mammalia; Rodentia; Muridae
Source: RNAcentral
UCCUGGAUCUGAAGGCAAUGCGUUGG